CCUACGUGAGGCAGCAGUGAGGAAUAUUGGUCAAUGGACGCAAGUCUGAACCAGCCAUGCCGCGUGCAGGAAGACGGCUCUAUGAGUUGUAAACUGCUUUUGUACGAGGGUAAACGCAGAUACGCGUAUCUGUCUGAAAGUAUCGUACGAAUAAGGAUCGGCUAAUUCCGUGCCAGCAGCCGCGGUAAUACGGAGGAUUCAAGCGUUAUCCGGAUUUAUUGGGUUUAAAGGGUGCGUAGGCGGUCGGAUAAGUUAGAGGUGAAAUCCCGAGGCUCAACUUCGGAAUUGCCUCUGAUACUGUUCGGCUAGAGAGUAGUGGCGGUAGGCGGAAUGUAGGGUGUAGCGGUGAAAUGCUUAGAGAUCAUACAGAACACCGAUUGCGAGGGCAGCUUACCAAGCUACAUCUGACGUUGGGGCACGAAAGCGUGGGGAGCAAACAGGAUUAGAUACCGGGUAGUC
RNAcentral lists this ribosomal RNA (459 nucleotides) under uncultured bacterium. RNAcentral describes it as "partial 16S ribosomal RNA". It matches the Rfam family "Bacterial small subunit ribosomal RNA", at positions 338 to 795 of the family's 1533-position model. The record is from RNAcentral.